GCCCUUAUAGCUCAGUGGUAGAGCGCGUCACUAGUACUUGCGGUUAAGCGGGUCAUUUCCCCAAUGACGAGGUCGAUCGUUCAAGUCGGUCUGGGGGCA
This is a non-coding RNA of Tulasnella sp. 332, 99 nucleotides long. Lineage: Eukaryota; Fungi; Basidiomycota; Agaricomycetes; Cantharellales; Tulasnellaceae. The record is from the annotation of a GenBank genome assembly.